GGCGAGUGAAGCGGCAAUAGCUCAAAUUUGAAAUCUGGCUCUUUCAGAGUCCGAGUUGUAAUUUGUAGAAGAUGCUUCGGCUUACGUAUCGGUCUAAGUUCCUUGGAACAGGACGUCACAGAGGGUGAGAAUCCCGUUUGUGGCCGGUACUUCCGCUAUGUGAAGCUCCUUCGACGAGUCGAGUUGUUUGGGAAUGCAGCUCUAAAUGGGAGGUAAAUUUCUUCUAAAGCUAAAUAUUGGCCAGAGACCGAUAGCGCACAAGUAGAGUGAUCGAAAGAUGAAAAGCACUUUGGAAAGAGAGUUAAAAAGUACGUGAAAUUGUUGAAAGGGAAGCGCUUGCGACCAGACUUGCCUUUAGUUGCUCCGCCGGUCCUUCGACCGGUGUAUUCUUCUAUUGUCAGGCCAGCAUCAGUUUGGGUGGUUGGAUAAAGGCAUUGGGAAUGUGACUCUCUUCGGGGAGUGUUAUAGCCCUUUGUGCAAUACAGCCUACCUAGACUGAGGACCGCGCUUCGGCUAGGAUGCUGGCGUAAUGGUCGUAAGCGGCCCGUCUUGAAACACGGACCAAGGAGUCUAACAUCUAUGCGAGUGUUUGGGUGUCAAACCCGUGCGCGAAAUGAAAGUGAACGGAGGUGGGAACCUUUGGGUGCACCAUCGACCGAUCCUGAUGUCUUCGGAUGGAUUUGAGUAAGAGCAUAGCUGUUGGGACCCGAAAGAUGGUGAACUAUGCCUGAAUAGGGUGAAGCCAGAGGAAACUCUGGUGGAGGCUCGCAGCGGUUCUGACGUGCAAAUCGAUCGUCAAAUUUGGGUAUAGGGGCGAAAGACUAAUCGAACCAUUAAAAAACAAAAACAGUUGCUAGGUGGUUAAGAGGCGGCUAAAAGUGACCGUCUAGU
This 891-nucleotide ribosomal RNA is filed under the name Helicoma liyui. Its description in RNAcentral is "Helicoma sp. YZL-2022b partial large subunit ribosomal RNA". It matches the Rfam family "Eukaryotic large subunit ribosomal RNA", at positions 88 to 1009 of the family's 3401-position model. The record is from RNAcentral. Lineage: Eukaryota; Fungi; Ascomycota; Dothideomycetes; Tubeufiales; Tubeufiaceae.